AAAGCUCUAUUAAUGAUAUGUUNAUGAACUUACUUAGGGGGUGUAAAUUCCCCCUUCUUAAAUAAUAGACGAGAAGACCCUAGAAANUUUGCAAAAUAUGAACCGGNUUAUUUUUUGUUGGGGCAACAUUGUAGCAUUUAACCUACAGUANAUGACACGCCAUGUUAUUUGUAAGAUUAAAUUACUCUAGGGAUAACAGCGUAAUUAANUAAAAGUUUGCGACCUCGAUGUUGGACUAGGACGCGGUCGCUUAGAAGGCCAUCCGUAACGCUCUGUUCGAGCGAUUGUCUCCUACGUGAUCUGA
Molecule: ribosomal RNA, 304 nt
Filed under: Amplirhagada alta
Lineage: Eukaryota; Metazoa; Mollusca; Gastropoda; Stylommatophora; Camaenidae
Description: partial 16S ribosomal RNA
Source: RNAcentral